Molecule: unclassified non-coding RNA, 2398 nt
Filed under: Leishmania donovani
Lineage: Eukaryota; Euglenozoa; Kinetoplastea; Trypanosomatida; Trypanosomatidae
Description: gene:unknown
Source: RNAcentral
GCGCGGCAUGUUUUUUUUCUAUUUUGCUGCUCUUGUCUCUGUGUUUGCGCCUCUCCUCCCCUGCACCGUCGGCGUUGUGUUGUGUCGCGUUGUUGCACUGUGUAUUACACUGUGCUCCUGCUCAUCCUCCCCCCUCUCCCCUCCCCACCACCAACACCGCACACGGCAACGGCCUCAGUCUCUCUCUCUCUCUCUGCACGCGCCUGCGCGUGCUUUUGCUUCAGCCUCACGUAAGGAUCCUCGUCUCGUGUUCUUUCUCUGUAGCAGCUGCGUUGCAGAAGUCCCAACCGCCACCCAUCUCACCACAACGCCUCCAUUCGCAUCCGUCGUGCUCGCCAUCCUCCUCGUCUUGCACGUUGCCUCGGCCUGGAAAGGCCCGACUUCCCCAGCUUCUCGACGCUUCUUGACCGUCCCUCACACGCACACAAACGCAUUCGUCGCCGUCGCCAUGUCGGCGGUUUCCCGCAACGGCUGCUCAGGAAGCGGUCGUGCUUGACGACCUCACACUCGGCAGUGACCCCUUCACGUUUGAUCCCUUUUGCUGCUUGCGGGAGCAACAGCAACGCGUAUCUGGCGUGCACAAAAAAUUUGCUUGGGCCCAGAUCCGAGGUUGCUGCGCGGUCACGACACCGGCCGCGAUGUCGGCUAUCACGAUGGCUGGGGCGCGUACCACGGCACCAUCGUCCCUCCUCCCCCCCCCGAGGCUUCCUGACGCACCCGCGGUGUCGUUUCAAGCCCAUCGCGCUCACCCGCGCCGGCCUGGUGGACCACUCUGACGCCCAUAAGUUCACAGCCCACUACUGCAAGGGGACAAUACGCAGUGGCUCACGGCUGGCGGUGGCGUGCAGCACGCGGAGAUGCUCCUCCUGCUGCACGCGAGCAAGCCCAACACUGUGCAGUUGUUCCACAUGUGUGUGGGUGAGCCUGAAGCGCAAGAAAAAAAUGUGCACGCCGUACUUCAAGCUCUGGAAGGAGGCGGCAGCCAUGGCGCCGCUGGCACUCCACUGGUGCUGGACAUCAUCGACAAGUCAGCAGAGUUACUUGAGCUACAGGAGCGGGCUCAUCGGCGAGCCUGUAAUGUAGCGAGGCCCAUUCGUGGUCAGCACGCGAGCAGAAAUUCCGGAGUGUUUCGAAGUCCCACCGCUGCACCCGGUUUGGCGGCGUUUGUUAAACCAGUGAUCACGUGCACCCCGCGAUAUGCCGCCUGACGCAGUGCACGUGGAAACGCGCAAGGAACUCGCGCCGAGGAAGAAGCCGGACGCACAAGAAGGCUCUGGAAGGGAAAUGAAAUGGCCAACAGUGGGUGGUGUGCCAUCGGCGAUUGAGUGCAGACGUCUUCGCACCUUCUCACCUGCCCUUGUAAGGAUUCUCAGCUCUUUGUGUGUGUGUGUGUGUGAGGCGUGCGCUCACCCUCCGCCAUCGCCACUCCCUCAUUACGGCGACGCUUUCGUUUCCUCGCACGCUUACCUCCUUUGUUUCUCCCCUCUAUUUUGUUAGCGUGCACGCGGCUCCUCUCCUACCAUGCAAUUUCAUCAUCGCCGUCGCCAUCGCUCUCUUCCUCUACCGGCGCCCGACUCAGCCACACGUCAUUACGGAGACCACCAGACAUAUCGGACGCUUCUCUCUCUUGAAGGAGAUGUGCGUCAGCGCGCGUUCGUACGCGAGCAUCUCUUUUACUGUGGCGCAGUGGCACACCCUUCACGCCGUCCACGUCGACCUCCACUUAAAUGCGCGGGUCCCUGCUGUCUUCCCUCUCCCUCCCCCUCCCUCCGCAAGCCGACGCGCGUGGGGCGUGACUCUUGCCGCUGUGCCUGCUGCCACUGCGAUCAAGCGUGUUCGUAGGUGGGCGAUCUUGCUCUACGGCCACCCCUGCAUCCAAGGAGGCAGCAGGCGAUUGCUCUUGUCAUCACUCCGUCCUUCAUGCGUACGCUCUGUUCCUGUAUCCGUGAUGUACACAUGGAGGGGUGGGGAUGGAGAUGCGAUCCAUGUGUGCGCCACUGACAGAAGUCCGGGGGAGAAAACAAAUUCCAAAAGAGACACGCAAAGUGAACGCGCACGACGCGUCGAGGGAGCGGCAGCGACCAACAGCGGUGCUCUACCUCUCCCCGACCGUGCCAUUCUCCAUGCAGACGAGGAGAUAAGGAUGGCAGAGGAAAAACGGUCGCAAUGCCAAUAUCUGCAUACAUACAUACAUACAUAUAUAUGUGUGUGUGUUUGUAUUUGCAUUUGUAUGUGUAUACGCUGUUCUCAACGUGGUACUUCGGUAGUGUGCCGCCCAGACGUGCGGGGCACGUGGAGGAAUCGGAGAUGUACGAGACGCACAUUCCACCUCCCGACUUGUCAUCCGACAACCUCUUUCUUUGCCCUCUAUCGCUACGUCUCGUCUCUGCCGCGAAGC